RNAcentral lists this ribosomal RNA (237 nucleotides) under Triticum aestivum (bread wheat). Its description in RNAcentral is "partial small subunit ribosomal RNA". The record is from RNAcentral. Lineage: Eukaryota; Viridiplantae; Streptophyta; Magnoliopsida; Poales; Poaceae.
AUGCUUGGCGGAGACCCUGCAAGCUGCUAUGCUGCCCUGGAAGCACUCCUCUUCCUGCCUCACCACCUGUUCAGGAACCGUAUCAUAAGUGGCGCCUUCUUCCACGAACAGUUGCGGUGCUCGCUGUCGGCGUCAGACUCCCAAGCAAGUGAGGAUGACCACGACGCAGAGGAGGACGAGGACCCGAGCUCGAUUCCGACCACGACGCACCGCACAAGAUCCCUGCUUCCUUCCUGA